Molecule: long non-coding RNA, 743 nt
Organism: Cornus florida
Lineage: Eukaryota; Viridiplantae; Streptophyta; Magnoliopsida; Cornales; Cornaceae
Exons: 3
Source: RefSeq, a predicted model, not a curated record
GUGAGUAUGUUAUAUGACUUUGUUCUUUUGAGAUCUCUGCUCGUCCAUUAUUUUUUGUUGCUUUUUUUUUUUUUGUCCCCCCAUCUUGGUUCCUCUGUUUUUUUAUUUUUCUUUUUUAUUUGAUAAGUCAUGUUGAUGGUGUUGGAUAAACAUUAGAUGGAUAUAAAAUGAGUGGUGGAAUGGAGAUUUAAAUCUUUUGUCAAUAUGAAUAUAUGAUUGAUUCUAUUCUAGGUUGUAUAACAAUGGAAAAGAGUAAUCAUGUCAUUUUUUUGUUUCAUUUUUGCUUCUUCAGUUUCCAUGACAUCUUUUCUGGCAACCUCUCCUAAUAUUAUUGAGAAAUUAAUGGUUAUGUGAAGGCUUGGGAUGAAAAGAAGGUCGAGUUGGGAACUCCGUCACAAAAAUGUUUCCUUCCCUUUCUCAUCGGCAUGCCAAACUGGUAAAUUUUGAUUCGACUUAUUCCCCAUUAAAUAUUUAAUCUUAUUUAUAUUGUAUCUUUUUUGGAGGCUCGAGAAGGGAUUCAUCAGCUCCAAAUAUUCAAAUUUGGGCCAGCGGUUAGCAAAUUGUUUAUAGCCUUCUCACCAUGGCUUUAGUUUGGUGAGGUGGAUAUUGAGGGUUCAUUGGUUGCUAGUAUUAUUUUAAACAAGAUAGAUUUGGUGACUGAGGCUGAAUUGGAGGUGUUGACAAAGCGAAUUCAGUUAGGCUUUCACCUUGUACAUAGAUAGAUUUUACUUGUAUCUUUGAAA